Salvia miltiorrhiza (redroot sage) is the source of this 1274-nucleotide RNA transcript. It is a transcript of the gene named sucrose nonfermenting 4-like protein, with no coding region annotated. The transcript is spliced from 7 exons. The record is from RefSeq and is a predicted model, not a curated record. Lineage: Eukaryota; Viridiplantae; Streptophyta; Magnoliopsida; Lamiales; Lamiaceae.
AUUCUCAAACCUCUAAAAUCCAAACCCUAACUCUCUUUCUCUCGUUCAAUUCUCCCGCCCACAGGCCGCCGCCUCGCCUCCCAUCAGUCUGACGCGCCUCCGGCAGUCUCCCCCGAUCCAACGCACCACCGGUCUCCGACCGCCCCGCCUCGGUCUGACUCGAAGCCUCCGUGGCAAGCCAGAAGUAUGCUAUGCCCCGUCGCGCCUCAGUGUGCGACAGCACGGCCCAUCCUUUCCCGUCGUCCCGCCUCACCUCCUCCGGCCUCAGCGGCUCCGUUGGUCCGUCCGGCGACUCCAAAACACCAGCAGUUGCCAACACGGCGAGCCUGUAGGAACUUGGGGUUGAAUAUAACUCAUUAAGAUGCAUUUGACCGAAUGUUUUGAUGGUUUUGGAAGAAUCGACAUUCUGCCUGUAAUCUGAUGCCCAAAGGUACAAAUGGGGUUCUUUCUUGUCUAUGGUAGCUGCACUCAGUAACCCCCCCUCCCCCCCUGCUCAGGAAGAUGAAGAUCGUUGGGUUCGAUGAUGAAGUAACCUACUAUCUCUAUGAAAUGCCAGGAGCAGCUACCUCAGAUGUUUUCCAUCUCCGGUAAUAUAUAAAUUAUCAUGGCAUCCUUCAAUCUUGAUUCAAGCUAUAGCUCCAAAUGAAACUUUAAAGAAAUUGGCUUCUGUUUGCUCAAAUUUCAAGCUCCUUAGUAAAGUUCUUUUUUCCAUUUCAACUACUGUAGCAAAGUUCUUGUGUAUUUGCACCAUACUAUACUAGAUUCAUUGACCGCCAGCUAAUGUUCUUUCUUUUGCUGUAUUUAUGUCGACGCACAUGGCCUAUGAAUUGCUUCCUGAGUCUGGAAAGGUUGUUGCCUUUGACGUCGACUUACCCGUAAAGCAAGCAUUUCAUAUUCUGCAUGAGCAGGGUGUAUAUACGGCGCCCUUGUGGGACUUCUCAAAGAGCCGGUUUACCGGAGUUCUCAGUGCACUGGAUUUUAUUUUGAUUAUGAGAGAGUUUGCAGGAGGAUGCUACUCCAAAAAGGAAAUUGAUGAAGUAAGGAUAGAGUGGGCAGAAUUUGUAUGUAAAAUCACGGAUGAGUGAUGAUGGAUGGUGUAACUUGCUUGGUUUGCAGUUAUGUUUCAAUUAGUACGAUGAUGAUGUUUGGAUUCUAAUGUAAUGUAGGAUGAUGAUGUUUGGAUUCUAAUGUAAUGUAGGGAUGAUGAUGUUGGAUUCUAAUGUAAUGUAGGGAUAAUGAUGUUGGAUUAUAAUGUAUGAAUUUUUAGCUUUUCA